Molecule: long non-coding RNA, 653 nt
Filed under: Homo sapiens (human)
Lineage: Eukaryota; Metazoa; Chordata; Mammalia; Primates; Hominidae
Description: non-protein coding lnc-MAST4-6:5
Source: RNAcentral
AGGCUGAGGGAGCUGCACCUGAGGAAACCCAGGAGGCAAAGGUGGUCCUGGUCAGGAUGAUGAGGAGGUCCGUGUGGCUGGAGCAGGUGAGCUAGGUGGAGAGAGGCCGUAGAUGAGGGCAGAGCUGCUGCGGGAGCCAAACGUGUAAGGAUCUUUUCGGGCAGUGAGAGGACGUUGGUUUCUCACAGCAGAGAAGGGACAUCAUCUGACAUAUUUUAAAAGUAUCUCUCCGGCUCCCUUGUGGACUGUAAGGGACCAAGAGUUGAAACAGGCACCCAGGAGGAGUCCUUCCAGCAACUGAGAGGACUUGGUCCGAUUCUACCUCCGGAACAAUGCUCAGCCCACAGCCCUCAUUCCCUCCGUGAUGAACAGUAACUGUGGACUUUUGACCUUCCUCUUGAGCUUGGUCUGAGUCUUGGCAUUUACAACCACGGCUCUAGGUUUCUCCUGUCUACUUAUGUAUGAAUGACAUCAAACCAAUGAAGCCACUGUGAGAAAUCUGCCACUGAUACAUAAUUAUUUACUUAUAUUACCCAUAAGGAGAACAUUAUCUGUUUCUUAUCCAUUUAAUUAAGAAGAAAGACUACAGAAGAUAUUUGUUUAUUUCUCCUUUACAAAAUGUUUUCUAUCUGGCCAUGGCUAUAAGACAAAUA